Rosa chinensis is the source of this 1274-nucleotide long non-coding RNA. RefSeq lists it as uncharacterized. Lineage: Eukaryota; Viridiplantae; Streptophyta; Magnoliopsida; Rosales; Rosaceae. The transcript has 3 exons. The record is from RefSeq and is a predicted model, not a curated record.
CAAAUUUUAAAGCUAUUUCUCUCUCCCCGACAAAUUUAACCCUUUGAAAAAUUUUCUCUUCCACAUCUGAGAAACCCUAUCUAUCUUGCUCUCCCUUAGGCACAAAAGAACCCAGCUCAACACAAAUUUCUUGGCAGAUCUCCCCCAUUAAACUCUCCUCCAAUCAAAACUGAAAACUCAAUCUCCCCCAUCUCUCUUCGACAAACAUAGAACCCAUCUCAAUCACUUUUUCAAACCAUACAGCCAAACCAUCUCAAUCCCUCUCACGAGUUCUUGUUGGUGUUGAGAAGAUUUCAACGCUUUCAAUCCGUAUUGUUUCACUAUUGUUGGGUAAGGCCUUCGAUUCACUGUUAAUCAAUUUAUUUAGAGUUUCUUUUGGAUUGGGUUUUAGGGUUUUAAUUGAAAUAUCUAUUCAAAUUUGAUUUGUGUUUGCUGGGUUAUAUUCGAAUUGGGGAUACAAGGUUAUCUUUUGUCUGGGUUAUGUUCAAAUUUUCUUUUCGAAGGUACGAUUCGUCUUUGAAAUCGGUGAAGGAGCUUAACCAACCCCCUGGAUUCGAAUUGCGGGGUGUUCGUGAAUCGAAGAAGGAGAUGAUAGGCUUAAUCUAAAGUAACCCGUGGAGUCUUGGAAUUAAUAAUUCUUUUCUCAAGAGGCAGUGUAAGUUGGAGUAUUACUAGGGUCUGCUGUGGCUGUAAUUGAAUGAGUGAAAGUGAGAAAAAUAAGAGUCAGUUUAAUCACGAUAUGGUAUUUCCCAAGGCCAGAAGCCCCAUAAUAUCUAUUAUUUCUUCCUUAUAAAUUUACUACUCAAGCUUCUAGGGCUCUACAUACAUUAUCACUAAUCUUUUGUGUUGUACUUUCAAAAUCAAUGUUGCUCAGAUCUUCUAGAUUACUGAUGAUAUUUAACUUGGAUUGGAAGGACAGGUUGUCCCUUUCUACAUGAAAUAUAUGUAUGAUAAUACUCCUUUUUAUUAUUCAUAUUAUUAGUUACUUUUUGACGUUACUGUUAUAUAUUCUCCAUAAUACAGUCUGGUUUCUGCUACAGGUGGAAGGAUGGGUUCCUACUAUAAGGAGCAUAGAAUUCUUCCCCACUUCCAGAACUCAGCUUGCUGUAUAUCUAUUCAAUAUAACUUUGCAAUGAGGCUUGGUGGCUUUGGGAUAAGGAUGGUUUUAUGUUAUCUACUUUCAACUCCAUCAGCUUUUUGUUUGAAGCUAGUACGUAUCUAGUCCUCACACUACUUUCAACCCCAGCCAUUUUUCUUUCUUUUAUUGUGCCUUG